CAGCAUUCCCUGCACCCUAGUCCUCUGUAACUUAGAUUCCAGUGUGCCGCGCAGUGUGCGCAAAUUCAUACAUCUGCCUGUAGGCUUGGUGGUUUCUGAAUCCCGAGACUUGAAACUCUUUGGGAAGAUCCUCUUCAACCUCAAAAGAAGAUGACAGCCCACAGAGAGACAACUUGUAUUUACAUGGAACUCAGAAAUCUCCUGCAAAUCAUGCAUGCAGAAGUUCCUGGCCAGAGAUCAAAGCCAAGCUACAGCAGUGACCCAAGCCGCAGCAGUGACAACACUGGAUCCUUAACCCGAGGCACCACCACAGAACUUCCUGGCUCAACGCAAGCCUCAUUUCCUCCAAGAGGCUGCCUUAAAUAACCUGUCCCCAGGGCAGAGACAGGAGAGCCUUAUCUGAACCCCUGGGGUGCCUGUGGCACCACCUGUCAUAGCCCUGUCCUUCCCAGGAGCUUCCAGUUCUCCAAGGACCCCCACCCUAUCCUGGGCUACAGCCCCAUUUCCCUGUUCUGGGCCGCCCUGGAGGUCUGAGGCCGCCAACGCGGCAGGGGGAACCUGGUGUGGGCGGAACUCGAGUGCAGCGGCGGGAGGCUUCCGGGGGAGCCGUAAGGGCAACGGGUCGGCGGAGGCAGAAAAGCGUCGGACGCCGGGCCGAUCAUGGACGCUUGACAACCUGCGGGCAGGCGCCGGGAGGCCACGCCAGCGACCGAGAGGACGGAGAGGCGGCGAGGACAGGUUUCAUGCAAAUUCUGAAGUUGGGUUGGUGACAUGUCACACAUCACUAGGAGGCCAAAUAAAAGAUCUCAAGGCCAGAGAAUGGCUGGUGAACAGAAACCCUCAAGUAACCUCCUGGAACAGUUUAUUUUACUCGCCAAAGGUACCAGUGGCUCAGCCCUCACUGCUCUCAUAAGCCAAGUUUUAGAGGCUCCUGGAGUAUAUGUCUUUGGAGAACUGCUGGAGCUGGCCAAUGUGCAGGAGCUUGCAGAAGGAGCUAAUGCUGCUUAUUUGCAGUUGCUGAAUCUGUUUGCCUAUGGAACAUACCCAGAUUACAUAGCCAACAAGGAGAGCCUGCCAGAACUGAGCACAGCUCAGCAGAACAAGCUGAAACACCUUACCAUCGUGAGCUUGGCAUCGAGGAUGAAGUGUAUCCCCUACUCCGUGCUGCUGAGGGACCUGGAGAUGCGGAACCUCCGGGAACUGGAAGACCUCAUCAUCGAGGCUGUCUACACGGAUAUCAUCCAGGGCAAGCUGGACCAGCGAAACCAGCUGCUGGAAGUGGAUUUCUGCAUUGGCCGUGACAUCCGAAAGAAAGAUAUUAAUAAUAUUGUCAAGACCUUGCAUGAAUGGUGUGAUGGCUGUGAAGCGGUCCUGCUGGGCAUCGAGCAGCAAGUUCUGAGAGCCAACCAGUACAAGGAGAACCACAGCCGGACUCAGCAGCAGGUAGAGGCAGAGGUUACCAACAUCAAGAAGACACUCAAAGCCACGGCGUCCUCUUCCGCGCAGGAGAUGGAGCAGCAGCUGGCUGAACGAGAGUGUCCCCCGCACGCCGAGCAGAGGCAGCCCACUAAGAAGAUGUCCAAAGUGAAAGGUCUGGUCUCCAGCCGCCACUAGGGCCGGCGGGGGCAGCUGGCACUCACCAGGCCUGGGUCAGGUGGCAGGGGGACGCCGAGGGCCUGUUUCCUCCCCUCUCUACCUUCCGUGAGUUCCAGACCUGCCUGUCCCCUCACCAGCGCCUCCCCCACAUUGGUACUGUUCCAGAAGAACCGUUAACUCCCUCCCCUCACCCACUCCUCCUUCCCCAGUUGCUCCCUUCAGACUCAGGGGCUCCACGGAUGCCACCCCAACAGGGCCAGACACUGCCCAGCUCCCCUCCAGGAGGUUCUUGUCUCUGUCUAAGGGCUUGUCUCCCUCCCAGUUUUUCUUUGGCUUCAUGUCGUUUUGUCAGGCUGCUCAUAAGCCGAAGCAGCUUUGCUGGCCCACGGGGAUGACCGCGAAGGAGGCCCCUCUGUGCGUGAGGGGCGUGCCUUCUCCAGCCCCGUGCCCCGCAGUUCCCACCCAGGUGCAGGUGCGCUCUAGCCGGGUAUCAGAAUGCUUUGUUUUCCCUCUCCUGCCUUAUCCUUUGCUGGCAGCUCCGAUCAGGCCAUGGAGGGAUGUGAUGCUGGGCUGUGUUUACUAAACCUGCGGGUUUUCAGCCUCUUAAGCCCAGCUCCAGUCUCUCACUAGUUGGGAGCCCCGGGCUGACUAACCUCUGGUAUCUGAGCACCGGUGGAGGGUGUUGUGGGUGUGCCGGGAGGCAGAAGCUUCUUCCGGCUCGGUGUUCUCUCCUGGCCGCUCCUCCUGCUGCCUCUGACUCCUCAGACGGGUCUUGGGGUCUUGGUGUGAAGGCCCCGGCUGCCCCCCGGACCUGUCUGCCCGCACUUGCUCUCCCGGGAUCGUCCAUCCCUCCCGGCUGCAUCUGCGGUGGGGAUGGCGGCGUCCAGGCCCCUCUCUGGUGAAGGAUCUGUUGCUGCUUCUGUUUCUGGCUUCCCUUCCUCCCCGGCUGGUGACCCAGAGCCCUCUGAUGAUGGCGAUCUCCUGGCAAGAGAAAAGGACUUGACUGGCCUUUCUGAACUUGAACGGUUUCAGGUUAUAUUUUAAUUUUUUUUUUUUUUUUUUGUACAGGUUCUGAUUCUAAUACAUUUCAACUUGCUUUUUUCCCCCCUUGUGUCAAUAUUUGUUAUAGACGAAUCGCCGGGGAUUUUCACCUUGUUGGAGGGUGGUGUGUGUGUAUGUGUGCGUGUGGUGGUGUUUUGUUGGGGUUUGUUUGUUUUAAAGAAAAGGCGGAGGUCCUGGACUGAGAGAAAAGCACAUUUUAGAACAAAAAAUAAAAAUAGGUUUAAUGUAUGUGAUGAUGGGAUUGCAUAGCUGGUGGAUCUGGAGAGGCUGGCACGAGGGUGGUUCAGAGAAAAUGUGAUAUACUGUUUCAGAACCAUGGUUAAAAAAAUGGAUUCUCCUUUUUCCAAAAUGUCCAGCAGCUGCCUGCCGUUGCUUGAAUGUUCACAAAGUACUCUCGUUUCCGUUUUCAUGGUCCGUGUGCCCAUAUACCAUUAUACCCAACUGGAGGGUUUAAUUCCCAAAGUAUGUUUCAUGAAACCCUUUGCUAGAUGCUCUGUGGAAAAGGGGUUCUGUUGUGAAAUAAAUCUGGCACAUCUUGCACCCCCGUA
This is a non-coding RNA of Sus scrofa (pig), 3206 nucleotides long. NCBI's taxonomy places the organism in Eukaryota, Metazoa, Chordata, Mammalia, Artiodactyla, Suidae. The record is from RefSeq and is a predicted model, not a curated record.